RNAcentral lists this ribosomal RNA (276 nucleotides) under uncultured bacterium. Its description in RNAcentral is "partial 16S ribosomal RNA". It matches the Rfam family "Bacterial small subunit ribosomal RNA", at positions 83 to 354 of the family's 1533-position model. The record is from RNAcentral.
CCGUUGCCGCGACCGGCGCACGGUGAGUAACACGUAUGCAACCUGCCCGUCGGCAGGGGGAGUAAGCGGGGGAAACCCCGUCUAAUACCGCGUAACGCGGCCUAGGGACAUCCCAAGGCCGCCAAAGGGAGCAAUCCCGGCCACGGAUGGGCAUGCGGCGCAUUAGCUAGUCGGCGGGGUAACGGCCCACCGAGGCGACGAUGCGUAGGGGUUCUGAGAGGAAGGCCCCCCACACUGGUACUGAGACACGGACCAGACUCCUACGGAAGGCAGCAG